GCAGCAAUAGAUGUGUAAGCAUCAGAGGCAGCAAGAGGUUAAUGUUCACUGCUGUUUCAAUAAGUGACUUUCAGCACAGUGAGAUUUCAUUGUAAAGAAGCUGAUCCAGUUUGCUGUUCUGAAGGCAAGAAAGAGCUAGCUGAGUUAGGAAUGAAGAAUUUUCCUGUAGAGUACUACUUACAGAUGCCAGAUGGCAUGUGAACAAGUGGGAUAUUACAAAAAGGUCUGUAAUGAAUUUAUACCAGAUGGAGAGUGUGACUCCAACACGUGGUCCACACAAGGAGACAUCCAGUUACCUACCCCUUAUUUCUGGGACCUCCCUGAAUGACAUUUCAAAUGCAAGUAAUAACAUAAUAUGCAUUACUUUUCAUACUGAUGCCUAUCAAAUAAAGUUAUGUGAAUUUUUAUAACCGAU
This is a long non-coding RNA of Columba livia (rock pigeon), 415 nucleotides long. RefSeq lists it as uncharacterized. The transcript is spliced from 3 exons. Lineage: Eukaryota; Metazoa; Chordata; Aves; Columbiformes; Columbidae. The record is from RefSeq and is a predicted model, not a curated record.